AGUGAACGCUGGCGGUAGGCCUAACACAUGCAAGUCGAACGGCAGCACAGUAAGAGCUUGCUCUUACGGGUGGCGAGUGGCGGACGGGUGGGGAAUACAUCGGAAUCUACUUUUUCGUGGGGGAUAACGUAGGGAAACUUACGCUAAUACCGCAUACGACCUACGGGUGAAAGCAGGGGAUCUUCAGACCUUGCGCGAUUGAAUUAGCCGAUGUCGGAUUAGCUAGUUGGCGGGGUAAAGGCCCACCAAGGCGACGAUCCGUAGCUGGUCUGAGAGGAUGAUCAGCCACACUGGAACUGAGACACGGUCCAGACUCCUACGGGAGGCAGCAGUGGGGAAUAUUGGACAAUGGGCGCAAGCCUGAUCCAGCCAUACCGCGUGGGUGAAGAAGGCCUUCGGGUUGUAAAGCCCUUUUGUUGGGAAAGAAAAGCAGCAGGUUAAUACCCCGCUGUUCUGACGGUACCCAAAGAAUAAGCACCGGCUAACUUCGUG
RNAcentral lists this ribosomal RNA (492 nucleotides) under uncultured bacterium. Its description in RNAcentral is "partial 16S ribosomal RNA". It matches the Rfam family "Bacterial small subunit ribosomal RNA", at positions 29 to 507 of the family's 1533-position model. The record is from RNAcentral.